GGUUCAACUUCCAACACUCUGAAGUCUCAACCAUUUACUCUUCAUUUUGAUUGUGAAGCCAUCCUCUGUGCGCUUGCAACUAUCCUUGACGGCGUUGCCGGAGCUCACGGUGGUGCGUUUGCCACUGACAGCGCCGGAGAGUGUAGUAUGGACCGGUGGAGAUAACAGCAGGGGCGGACCCACAGCAAGCCCAGGGGUUCAGUUGAACCCCUGAAAAAAAAAAAAAUUCAACUUACCCCCCUAUAAUAUUUGUAUAAUAUUUGUUUUUUGAACCCCCUGAGUUUUUAGAUUUGCACCCAGACCCUCCACUUACUCCUCUCUCACACACUUGCCUUGCCUCUGAUACUCACGACUCACGCUCUCAAGUCUCACUCUCACGAAUUAAUUCACGCUCACCAACCAGUCAGUCACCACGCCCAGACGACGCCCUCACCCUCUCCGCCUCUCGCACCCUCAUCACGGCACGGCGACACCACCACCGACCACCACCACGCCACGCCACGCCUCGCCUUCCCUUCCCUUCGUAUGCAGAAUAUCACAUGCUACCUCUGGUAACCUGGUUACACAACUUGUAAGUAUGGAUGAUUGAUGAAAUUCAGAAUUAGAGGGUGAAAUAAGAGAAUCAGGAAACAGUGGAGGCAUGGCUUUGGUGUUACAAUUAUAAGUGGGAGAUGAUUUGGCAAAUAUUUUUUCUUGGAUAUGUACAUCUGUAUUAUCAUCUUUGUGUUUAUACUGGAUAUGGUUGGGCAAAGUCAUUAUAAAUAGAAAAAUAGAACCCGACGCGGUCUAAGCCCCGGGACGGACCCCAACCGAAAGAAAGGCGCUAGACGGACUAACGGCAAGCGAGAUAAAGAAAGCUGCUUUAUCGUUGAAACUUUCAACUCUGUAGCUUGGCAUUCCUAUCUCCACCGGUACCACUGUAUAGAUUGUAUCUUGUACUUUAGGGGUGAAGCACCCCUUGUGCUUCUUAUUAAUAUAUUUCUUUUGGCCUUUUCAAAAAAAAUGUAUAUCAACUCUGUAAUUGCAGUUUUAGCUAUUUUCCUCUGUUGUGUGUUUGCAGCCUUGCUGCUGCUUUGUACCUCUCCCUCUGUGUCUUAUUUUUUCUUUGUUGCUUACUUGUAAUCUUUGGGAUGGCACCCGUUGUGCCUUUUUAUUAUAUCAUUGGUUUACAAAAAAAAAGCUGGAUAUGUCUAUUUUUUUCCCUAUUUUUUUUUCCCUAAUUCUUGUUGUGUGAAGCUUGAUUUCCCAAAUUCAUGAGAUAUAUUAAGAAUUAUAGUUAUGGUCUAUUUUUAUUUUUAAUUAUAUUUUUAUCGAUGUGCUUAUUUGAAAAUUUUGAACCCCUGACCUCGGGGUCCUGGAUCCGCCACUGGAUAACAGUCCAAUGGUAAUUCCCACGGUGGUGUGUUUGCCAUUGCCACCGUAUCGUUCUUCACUGCAUUUGCAAUUUCCACACUCUUCUUCCACUCUGCAUCGCAUUCCUUCAAUUCGAAGCUCUCUGCAUCGCAAUGGCAAUUGCAUUGUUGUGGCUGCGAAACCUCUGGCCUUUCAAAUUCGACGAACUGAGAGCUUCGAAGCGAAUCGUGAGAAAACUCAACAUCACCGAACACAUGCAGCAGUUCGUGUUUGCAGUUCGCGACCCCGAAACCCAAUCCAUCAUCUACAUACUCUCCACUCUCAACCUCUCCGAACGAUCAGUCUCCGACGCGCAAUGCCUCAUCAGAGAAAUCAAACCCGACGCUGUUGUGGUUCAAGCUGGUCUUUCUCCCUUCUCACAGAUUCAAUCCGAAGAAGAAGACUAUAACCCGGUACCCAUUUCUUCUUUUGGUGUGAUUAAACGUUGUUUUGUUGAUAAGAUUGGUAGUGAUAAGUUUGAGAGUGUUGCUGGGAAUUUUGUGCUCAGGGAAAUUUUUGGGACCAGUUUUCAUGGUCCCUUGUUGGCGGCUAAGAAGGCUGCUCAUGAUGUUGGAUCCUCUUUCAUUGUCAUUGUCUCGCCGUUAGGGAAGACUUGUUGGGGUAGCACUAGUAGUAAUGAUAAUGGUGAUGGUGGCGGCGGCAGUGGUGAUAAUUCUGGUGGGGUUGAUGGUGGUGGAACCCGUUUACAACGCAUUGUUAGUAGUUUGGUUCCUCAGUAUAAGGAUACCCUUUUGCUUGGUAAUAGCAAUAAGGCUAAUGCUGUUAUGGAGGAUGGUUAUGUGGAAAUUCAGCCAACAACUAGUUAUGAGACCCCGGCUUUUGCCAAGUGUAUAUACCCUUUACUUGAGGACUUGUGUUUUAUAUUUUCCAAUAUUCCGUUGAUGGGGAAGGCGCUCGCACAUGUGCAGAAGAUGCUGCUGGAUGUGAAAAGAGGGGAGGUUCUUGACAUCAGAACUGUUUCUGAGGUGUAUACUUUCCGAAUUGCCGUUGAGGGGCUGAGAGUAGCUCUGAAUAAUAGGGGGUUGCGGCCAAUUGGUGGUUGCAAGUCAAGUAAGAUUGAGUUCUCGGAGCUUCCGGUUGAUGACAAGACACAUGUGCUCUUUGCACAGGCCAUCCGUAGCCAGAAUGACAAGUUCAAGACCAUUGUGGCAGUGGUGGAUUCUAGUGAACUAGCAGGUCUUAGGAAACACUGGGAUACUCCUCUUCCUGGAGAAGCAAAAGAGCUGGUUGGAUAGCUGAUCAAGAAUUAUGAAGGUGAAGGGGUUGAUGUAAAUCAAAGUGACAGGAAGCGGUUGUUAACGGGUAAACCUGUGGUGACAUUUGAGGCUGGUGCGACUGCAGUUUUAGGAGUUUCAUCUCUGACCAAAGGAGUUCCUGCAUCAACACUGAUGAAGGUUGUUACUUUCAAAACUCCAGCUUCAGUCAAGAUUGCUCUCCUCCAGAUGGAGAAAGCAUUGGCUUUUGUUUUUGGCCCAUCUAAAGUUGUUGCUCCAGGAUUCGCAACUUCUGGAGUGAAAACCUCUGGUAUCCUGAAGACAGCUAUAUCUGCUGAAAAGAUUCGAGCCGUUACUCACAGUGUUAUAGCCUCUGCUGAAAAAACCAGUAUUUCAGCUAUGAGAACAGCAUUCUAUGAAAUAAUGAGGAAGCGAAAAGGGCAGCCCGUUGGGUUCUUGCCUUGGGCUACAUUUGCAGGCAGUGUUGGAACUUGCACAGGCUUGUUUUUGUAUGGUGAUGGGAUUGAGUGCGCUGUUGAAUCUCUCCCUGCAGCUCCCUCAAUUGCAAGUUUGGGUCGUGGAAUUCAACAUCUACGUGAAGCAUCUCAAGCAGUGAUGCAACAGAAGGAACUAGAAUCCAAAUAUCAAUAGAAUCUCUAGUUAACAGAAUAAAGAAGGCAAAGGAUCAAUAGAUAUACAAUAUAAUUCUUGGUCAUUGAUCAUCCUAAAUUAGGCUAUGCUUUUUCCUUGAUCAUCAUUAUCCUUUGCACCAUUGCGGCAAUGUAUCUCUCUCUCUCUCUCUGUGUGUGUGUGUGUGGAUAGUCUCAUUCUUGCACUCUUCCAGGAGAGCCUCAUGGCUACUCUAAAUUAGUCUGUGCUUUGUCCUUGAUCACCCUCACCCUUUGCUCCAUUGUGGCAAUGUAUCUGUGCAUGUGUUAUGGCUAUUUCUAAAUUAGUCUAUGGCUCUAUGCUUUGUCCUUGAUCAUCCUUAUCCUUUGCACCAUUGCGGCAAUGUAUCUGUGUGUGUACUCCCUAAGCAUGUGUUUUGGAUAUUUGAGAGCUGGAUGCACACACUGGACUACGUUGUCAGUCGGCUUAUUGCUAAGCAGAUCAUUGGAAUUUAGUUUGCCAUCAGAUGUUCAAAAUGACAUUGAUAAUGUUAAGAAAUUCAGCACUGCUGCUGAUUAUCUUUCCAAGAAGACUCAAGAUAAUUCAAAGAUGUUACUCCGAGCCAUAGAUGGAAUGUAAGUGCAGGUUUAAAAAUUUUAAUUAUAUUUUUCAAUGUGUUUUGCUAACAAUCAUCUGUUAUGCUCUGUAGGAGAUUAGCUCUUAUUAUUGUUGCUGCAGUUAUACUCUUUGUUGCAUUUCUCGGAUUCUCUAUAUUGUUUCUUGUUUACUUCCUCUGUGCUAAAGGCUUACCAAAAUAUAAUCUCAUUUGUCAUUUUAAUUGUGUGAAAACUUUUUUUGCAGCAUUUUCAAUACUUGGGUUGUAGUGUCCUUGUAAGCUGAAGCCUGAAUUCAUUGAGCUAUUUUCAUUUACUCCCCUUGUUGGAUAAAUUAUUGAUGGGCUUUGUGUCUGCAGCUUGCUAGUUGUUGGAUGGAUUCUUGUUGCUGGCACAUUUAUACUUUGUGGUGCAUUUUUUUUCUUCAUAAGUUCAUGUGCGCCAGUCUUAUUUUUAUCCAAUUUAUACUUUUGAAUGAUCCGAACUCAUUGCAUUAUACUUGUAAUGAAACACUUUGCAAUUGCAUGUUCAUAAUAGGAGCCUUACUUUCCUGCAUUUUUCUGCACUAGUAGUGCCAUUGCAGAUACAUCAUACAUCAUACAUGUGUUGUUAAGGUUCUAAAUAUUAGGGGUUUAUUUUAUAUAUAUUUUUUAGUUUAAGAGUCUAUCUUUUAUUUUAGGAGUUGAUCUUUUAUUUUGGUCGGGUCAUUUUUUAGAUUAAGACUAUCUUUUAUUUUAGGA
Lotus japonicus is the source of this 4590-nucleotide RNA transcript. RefSeq lists it as uncharacterized. Lineage: Eukaryota; Viridiplantae; Streptophyta; Magnoliopsida; Fabales; Fabaceae. The transcript is spliced from 2 exons. The record is from RefSeq and is a predicted model, not a curated record.